This 69-nucleotide transfer RNA is filed under the name Metorchis bilis. Its description in RNAcentral is "tRNA-Glu". Lineage: Eukaryota; Metazoa; Platyhelminthes; Trematoda; Opisthorchiida; Opisthorchiidae. The record is from RNAcentral.
GUUGGUUUGGUGUGUUUAGAGCAUCUCAAUUUUUCGUGUUGAGGGGGGCGAUUGUGUCAACCAGUAGUG